AAUGAACGCUGGCGGCAUGCCUUACACAUGCAAGUCGAACGGCAGCAUGACCUCGCGUGCUUGGUUGAUGGCGAGUGGCGCAUGGGUGAGUUAUGCAUCGGAACGUGCCUGUUAGUGGGGGAUAACGUAGCGAAAGUUACGCUAAUACCGCAUAUUCUCUGCGGCGGAAAGCAGGUGACCUUCGGGCCUUGCGCUAGAAGAGCGGCCGAUGUAGGAUUAGCUAGUUGGUGAGGUAAAGGCUCACCAAGGCAACGAUCGGGAGCGGGUCUGAGAGGAUGAUCCGCCACCCUGGGACUGAGACGCGGCCCGGACUACUACGGGAGGCAGCGGUGGGGAAUUUUAGACAAUGGGCGCAAGCGUAGUCCAGCCCUGCCGCGUGAGUGAAAAAGGCCUUGGGGUUGUGAAGCUCAUCCGGCUGGGAAGAAAUCGCACCCUCUAAUACAGGGUGUGGAUGACGGUACCAGCAGAAGAAGCACCGGCUAACUACGUG
RNAcentral lists this ribosomal RNA (490 nucleotides) under uncultured bacterium. RNAcentral's name for it is "partial 16S ribosomal RNA". It matches the Rfam family "Bacterial small subunit ribosomal RNA", at positions 29 to 507 of the family's 1533-position model. The record is from RNAcentral.